CGCGUAGGCGGCUCGGAACGUCCGUUGUGAAAUCGCCCGGCUCAACUGGGCGGGGUCAGCGGAUACGAUCGAGCUGGAGCAAGCUAGGGGGCAAUGGAAUUCCCGGUGUAGUGGUGGAAUGCGUAGAUAUCGGGAGGAACACCAGUGGCGAAGGCGGUUGCCUGGGGCUUUGCUGACGCUGAUGCGCGAAAGCGUGGGGAGCGAUCC
RNAcentral lists this ribosomal RNA (207 nucleotides) under uncultured bacterium. RNAcentral describes it as "partial 16S ribosomal RNA". It matches the Rfam family "Bacterial small subunit ribosomal RNA", at positions 568 to 774 of the family's 1533-position model. The record is from RNAcentral.